This 201-nucleotide long non-coding RNA is filed under the name Homo sapiens (human). RNAcentral's name for it is "HSALNT0385080". Lineage: Eukaryota; Metazoa; Chordata; Mammalia; Primates; Hominidae. The record is from RNAcentral.
CACUGAUGCAUCUACAAGUCAAAGAAUGUCAAGGAUUUCAGCAACCACCGGAAGUUAGGAAGAGGCAAGUAAGGAUCCUCUCGUGAAACCUUCAGAGUAUGACUCUGCUUACGCCUUGAUUUUGUACUUCUCAGCUCCAGAACUCUUGAGACCUUUGGACCGAUUUCAGCUGAAUUGAUAGAAACCACAUUGAAGUUGCAU